GCUUUGGUGCCUUCGGGAACUCUGAGACAGGUGCUGCAUGGCUGUCGUCAGCUCGUGUUGUGAAAUGUUGGGUUAAGUCCCGCAACGAGCGCAACCCUUAUCCUUUGUUGCCAGCGGUUAGGCCGGGAACUCAAAGGAGACUGCCAGUGAUAAACUGGAGGAAGGUGGGGAUGACGUCAAGUCAUCAUGGCCCUUACGAGUAGGGCUACACACGUGCUACAAUGGCGCAUACAAAGAGAAGCGACCUCGCGAGAGCAAGCGGACCUCAUAAAGUGCGUCGUAGUCCGGAUUGGAGUCUGCAACUCGACUCCAUGAAGUCGGAAUCGCUAGUAAUCGUAGAUCAGAAUGCUACGGUGAAUACGUUCCCGGGCCUUGUACACACCGCCCGUCACACCAUGGGAGUGGGUUGCAAAAGAAGUAGGUAGCUUAACCUUCGGGAGGGCGCUUACCACUUUGUGAUUCAUGACUGGGGUGAAGUCGUAACAAGGUAACCGUAGGGGAACCUGCGGUUGGAUCACCUCCUUA
This 525-nucleotide ribosomal RNA is filed under the name Leclercia adecarboxylata ATCC 23216 = NBRC 102595. RNAcentral describes it as "bacterial SSU rRNA". It matches the Rfam family "Bacterial small subunit ribosomal RNA", at positions 1008 to 1533 of the family's 1533-position model. Lineage: Bacteria; Pseudomonadati; Pseudomonadota; Gammaproteobacteria; Enterobacterales; Enterobacteriaceae. The record is from RNAcentral.